Molecule: long non-coding RNA, 329 nt
Filed under: Lathyrus oleraceus (garden pea)
Lineage: Eukaryota; Viridiplantae; Streptophyta; Magnoliopsida; Fabales; Fabaceae
Description: Pisum sativum (pea) long non-coding RNA (PSAT_LNC023348)
Source: RNAcentral
UAAUUAUAAAUUAUGUGUCCAUUAGGCACAACCCGAACUAGCGCAUGACCCUCUCAAACAGAUGUGGAUACAUUAGGCACAACCCACAAGCCAACCAUUAAGAGUAUAAGACUAUUUCGUCAAAGGAACAUAUCUAACAAUGAAUGUGGUACGGGUAAAAGCAUAUAUCAUUUUCUAUAGUGCGGUCAAUAAACAAUCAGAACGACUUUAUCACCUGAUUUCCUUUGUACGAGGAAAAGGCACAAACACGUGGCCAAUUCUCAAUGUAGUCUAUCUUGGGGUCCCACCCGGAUAUGUGAGGAAAGUGAGAGAUGAUCUACGCCUGAAAA